CUGGGAUGUUCAUUCUUGUUGAGGAGGUUCCGAAACGCUUCAGACGGUGCACCGAAUCACCCAUAAGGACACGAUUCAUGUGGCGGUUCCUUUGCAGUUCCGUGCGGUGUAUGAGACGCGUCCGUUAAAAAACGUCACUGGAAUUCACCGGAAACGCUUUUUCCUCUCAAUUUAAACUCGUUUCCCAUUGGUACCCUGAACUUGUAUCUUUACCUCCACUGGCUGUCUUGAGGUGGUGACAGAAAUUCUCCAUGUAAAUGUGUACCGCUGCCUCGAGGUGGAGGAGGGUAUUACAAGUCUCUACCAUUUACAGGACAGUGUUCCUGUCCCCACGUGUUCCAGUGUAGUGAGGUGUUUUGAAUUAUAAGCCGAAGGUUCGACGGAGUAUAGAACAAUGUGUCCUGGUGCUGGGUACACGCGGUGUCACCUUCAAUAGCAAGCCUCCUGCUCCAUUUGUACACAUAUGAUGAUGACGCUCCAUCGUUAAUCUUGAACAACUUUCAAGCAUGGAUCAGGACACAAUCAGAAACAAACCCAAAGAAAGGACUCUGCCAUCCUGGAUGUUGAAGCCCAACAUUGAUCCACAACGGAGCAGGACCAGCAGGACGACUUCGGAUCAGAACAGCCGUGAGCUCAGGUGCAAGAAUCAGAAUUUAAAGCAUUCCAUCAGGAAUGUCAGGACUGUGCACUGCAUGAAUGUGGAGGAGUUGAUUACAGUGGCUCGUGAAGUUCUUGACCAGGUUAACAGUUCUGAAGACGUGAUUACAAAUGAAGAACCAAAGUUUCAAAAUGUGGAUGAAGAGAAAUUUCAGGAUAUUGGGCUUGAGGAGACUAUUUUAUACACAAACUACUGAUGGUAGGAGUGGCUCUUCGAUCAAGAAAUCCAAAUUUAAAUUUAUUGUUCUUACCUCAUUUGGCUAAAGUUUUCUCUCGCCGAUGUUGUUCUUGCCAACAGUUCGACUCGUUUGAUUAACAUGGGCUACGGAGAGCUCCAACCUCCAAACUAAGAAUACCACAACAGAAAGAUUGAUGUGCUUCUUUUAUUUUAUACGCCCG
Molecule: long non-coding RNA, 1056 nt
Organism: Eptatretus burgeri (inshore hagfish)
Lineage: Eukaryota; Metazoa; Chordata; Myxini; Myxiniformes; Myxinidae
Source: Ensembl